Molecule: ribosomal RNA, 260 nt
Filed under: uncultured bacterium
Lineage: Bacteria
Description: partial 16S ribosomal RNA
Rfam family: Bacterial small subunit ribosomal RNA
Source: RNAcentral
GUCCACGCCUUAACUAUGGAUACUAAGUGUCGGCGGUUUACCGCCGGUGCCGCAGCUAACGCAAUAAGUAUCCCGCCUGGGAAGUACGGCCGCAAGGUUGAACUCAAAGGAAUUGACGGGCCCGCACAAGCGGUGGAGCAUGUGGUUUAAUUCGACGCAACGCGAAGAACCUUACCCAGGCUGGACAUGCAGGUAGUAGAAGGGUGAAAGCCCCAACGAGGUAGAAAUACCAUCCUGCUCAGGUGCUGCAUGGCUGUCGU